RNAcentral lists this ribosomal RNA (461 nucleotides) under alpha proteobacterium OCS116. RNAcentral's name for it is "bacterial SSU rRNA". It matches the Rfam family "Bacterial small subunit ribosomal RNA", at positions 13 to 508 of the family's 1533-position model. The record is from RNAcentral. Lineage: Bacteria; Pseudomonadati; Pseudomonadota; Alphaproteobacteria.
UUGAUCNUGGCUCAGAACGAACGUUGGCGGCACGCUUAACACAUGCAAGUCGAACGAGAAACCCGAGCUUGCUCGGGUGGACAGUGGCAGACGGCUUAGUAACGCGUGGGUAUCUACCUAGAGGUUUGGAACAACUAUUGGAAACGAUAGCUAAUACCAGAUAUUCCCUAAGGGGGAAAGAUUUAUCGCCUUUAGAUGAGCCCGCGUCGGAUUAGCUUGUUGGUAGGGUAAAGGCCUACCAAGGCAACGAUCCGUAGCUGGUCUGAGAGGAUGAUCAGCAAGAUUGGGACUGAGACACGGCCCAGACUCCUACGGGAGGCAGCAGUGGGGAAUAUUGCGCAAUGGGGGAAACCCUGACGCAGCGAUGCCGCGUGAGUGAAGAAGGCCUUAGGGUUGUAAAACUCUUUCACCGGUGAAGAUAAUGACGGUAGCCGGAGAAGAAGCCCCGGCUAACUCCGUGC